UACAGAGGUCCCAAGCGUUAUUCGGAAUUAUUGGGCGUAAAGGGCGCGUAGGCGGCCUGACAAGUGGAAGGUGAAAUCCCUCGGCUUAACCGAGGAACUGCCCUCCAAACUGUCUGGCUUGAGACCGGGAGAGGUGAGUGGAAUUCCCAGUGUAGCGGUGAAAUGCGUAGAUAUUGGGAGGAACACCAGUGGCGAAGGCGGCUCACUGGACCGGUACUGACGCUGAGGCGCGAAAGCGUGGGAGCAAACGGG
RNAcentral lists this ribosomal RNA (252 nucleotides) under uncultured bacterium. RNAcentral's name for it is "partial 16S ribosomal RNA". It matches the Rfam family "Bacterial small subunit ribosomal RNA", at positions 524 to 776 of the family's 1533-position model. The record is from RNAcentral.